GAAUGUAACCUGUACGCGAGUCAAAGGGUGGAAAACCUCAUGGCGAAAUGAAAGUCAAGGUCGGUUAACCAGUUGACGUGAAAUCCGUCUCUCGAGGCGGCGCACGACUGGCCAUAUCCCGUCUGCUCGCAGGUGGGCAGCGGUAGGACGUGCAGGUUGCAAUCCGAAAAAUGGUGAGCUAUGCCUGAGCAGGACGAAGUCAGAGGAAACUUCCAUGGAAGUCCGGGCCGGUUCUGACGUGCAACUUGAUCAAUAUUCGUCGCUAUAGGGGCGAACGACUAAUCGAAUCACUAGUAGCUGAUUCCCUCCGAAGUUUCUCCCAUGAUAGCUGGAGUUCUUCGCGGUUAUAUCCGGUGAACAGAAUGAUUAGAGGGCUCGAGGUCAAGACGAUCUCAACCUAUUCUCAAACUUUCAGAGGAUGUGUUGUCGUUGAACUGUUGACACCAACGAGAGCUCCAUGUGAGCCAUUUUUGGCGAGCAGAACUGUCGCUGUGGGAUAGCUACGCAAGGUGCUAUACUCCUCGAGGAGUAUAGCGCCAGUGUAAGAUGCCUAACUUCUCGCUCAUGAGGCUCAAUGAAAGGCGUAGGUUGAUAGAGACGACAGGACGGUGACCGUGGAAAUAGGUACCGUCUAAAAUGCAUGUAACAACUCAUCUGCCGAAUCAGCCGGCUCUGAGAAUGAAUGGCACUUGUACGAGUGAGCUAUACCCAGGGCGCAGCAGUAGGUGGCCAUUGACCACCAGGACUUAAUAGCGUCCUGCAGAU
This 765-nucleotide non-coding RNA is filed under the name Ancylostoma duodenale. Its description in RNAcentral is "Eukaryotic large subunit ribosomal RNA". It matches the Rfam family "Eukaryotic large subunit ribosomal RNA", at positions 671 to 1383 of the family's 3401-position model. The record is from Rfam by way of RNAcentral. Lineage: Eukaryota; Metazoa; Nematoda; Chromadorea; Rhabditida; Ancylostomatidae.